Molecule: long non-coding RNA, 577 nt
Filed under: Phoenix dactylifera (date palm)
Lineage: Eukaryota; Viridiplantae; Streptophyta; Magnoliopsida; Arecales; Arecaceae
Description: long non-coding RNA (PDAC_LNC004046)
Source: RNAcentral
AAAUGGAAUGAUUAAUUAAGGGGGAGAAAGAAAAUUUCAGAGGAAGAGAUCAUAUAGAACUUAAUCGUGUAAAUUCACAACUAAAGAUGAGAGAAAGAAUACUAAAUGUAAAGUUGUAUUAAACUUUGUGCUUCAUUGAAUAUCUUUUGAAAGUUGUAUUUCCAUCUAUAUUCAACGGUAAAUCAUUUGUUUCUGAAAAUUAAUUGAAAAUGACUCCAUUUGUCUUAGUAUCGAAAAUUUAUCUUGGAAUCUACUUAUGAGUUCUUAUUGGGUUGCACUUUGGUAUUUCAAUCCUGAACCAAUUUAUUUUAAUUGAUUUUGAUGCUAUAUCUUUAAAGGAGUAAAAGAAAGUCUUUAAAAGAGCUCUAAAAGAACUUUCAAAGCUUUGGAUUUUAUAUAUGCUCUAAGAUGUAUAUAAAUUGCAUAAAAUUCAUGUUUUGAUAUUUGUGCCCCAAUUAUUUUUUUAAGUUAUUAAGAAUUAAUGAUUUAACAUGAUCUUAUGUUUUUCGAGUAUAUAAGUUUUGAUCUUUAUCUGUUUUUAUACUAUACUCUGAAAAUUAAUUAGAUUGCUCUCAUA